CAUUAGAAUUCGUAGUGGCUCAAUUUUCGUGGAAUUCGUGGGUGCCCCUCACCCACAAAUUUACAUCCUCAACGAAUAAAGACAACUAGUAUACAAGAAUCUUACAAAUAUAUAAAUCCAUGAAAUUACGUCCCCAUGAACCCGUAAAAAAUCAGUAAUCCAUGAAAAUUGGCCCCCACGAAUUUAAAUGAUUCUACAGUAAUAGACCUAUCAAAAUAGAGGGUAUGACCUAUUAAUAGACCUAUCAGGAUAGAGGGUAUGACCUUUGUAUCACAUUACAUUAAGGUUCAUGGUCUCCUGUGGUUAUACAUGUAGUCAUGGCAACUCUUUCGCUGACAAUCUUGGUUACAAAUGGAGACUAAUACAACUACUCCCAAAAUUGACGACAUUCAACCGGUUUAUUUUUCCUUCAUUUUUUUUCUCAGCAGAUCAAUACUCCUUGCCCGAGAAAACAAGCACUGAUAUAUGUCAUCAGGUUCUGCUUGGACAAAGUGCAGCAUUACUGACAAUUCAAAACAAAUCAUAAAUCAAUACAAGAUUCAUAUAACUACUGCAACAUGCCUGAAAUAUCCUUGCUUGGCAUUCAAACAUGCUCUCCAUCAUCAUCAUAUCAUCAGGAUGUCUGUACAGUUCUUUUAAAUUGAACAUUGUUAUGCAUAUUUGAUGGAAUAAAACACCACUUCACAAGCUACCGACAACUCUUGAUGACUAAAAAUGGAGUCCUUUAUCCAUCUUGGGAUAUUCUUUUUUCGACUGAUUAAUUUUGUUCAGCACGGAAUUUCUUUUUCUUGUUAUCAGUAUCCUGUAGGCUGGGGGACUUUUUUAAAUCAGUAAUCAUGUGUCAUAAGAGGCGACUAAAUGGGGCGGUUCUUCGGAUGAGACCACAAAAACUGAGGCCCUGUGUGACAGCAGGUGUGGCACGAUAAAGAUCCUUCCCUGCUCAAAUGUCGUAAGCGCUGAGCAUGGCCUAAAUUUUGCAGCCCUUCAACGGGAAUGAGUAAAAAAUUCUUGAGUGGGACGUUAAAUAAUUAUUAAUCAAUCAGUAAUUCUGUAGGCUGGGAGUGUUCCACUUAUCAGUAAUCCUGUAGGCUGGGAGAUUUCCCCUUUUGUUUCACCUUACCCCAGGACACCCUCUCUGACCUAAUUUUCAGACUCUGUAUCACACACUAAGGUAUUCCAGGCUGCUGAUGGUGUAAACAUGAUUAUUGAUUUCUACUGCAUCAAGAACUCCAUCUAUGGGACUGUUUGACCAAUAGAAGGUGUAUGAAGACUGUUUAUUAAUAUUUGAAGAUGAAAGAAAAACCACUGUUUAUCAAUAUUUGAAGAGGAAAGAAAAACCAUACCACUAAGCUGUAGUGGACUUCAGCCACUGCGUUUUGCAGCUGUAAAAGAAUGUGACUUUAACCUUUGUAUCAGCCACUUUGAUACUCAAUCUAAUGAACUGGUCUUUGCUUUGUAGGAAUAAUUGAGAGCAUCAAUUUGCAUGAGAGCUUAAUGGUCUAAUCCAAAUACUGAGCAAGCAACAGAAAAUUGAUAAGCUUACUUAAUCUCUCUCUCAAUGGAGAUAAUUCUUAAACAUCCAAAUCUAAUUAACACACUGAGAAUUCAGAACACAGAGGCAAAAUAAUGGGCAAAAAAUCCAGUUUUGGGAGGAAAAAAGAUUGUUAUCAAUUAGCAAAGACAUAACAGCAACAUAACUCACUCCCAACAAGGUCGUUUGAAUGUUUUACAGUUUCCUUCAUUGAUGCUAACUCAAUUUAUAUGAUUUGGUCUUGACACUAUUUUGCUCCUCAGGAAGUAGAACUUCCAUUAUUUGCUGUUGUUCAGGAGUCGCUACAACUUCAUAACUAAGCAUCCUAUUAACAAACUUUACUGUAAACUUUGAAUUUUCAUGUUCGAUGACGCUGUAAUACUGUCUCAGAAUUGGAAUAUUUGGCAGAUUACGUAAAAGUUGAAGGCCUAUAAUUUUUCAUCACUAAUCCUUGUGGAUCCCUAAUUUUUGUUGAUCUAGAUAUAGUGCUUGUUCAUUUUAUAUGCUGUAAAAUCACUUUUCAUUUAUGGAAAUUUUAUUUUCAUCCGCAAAGUUCUCUUAAUGUGAAAAUGACUUUUCGAUAACGAAUUUGUGUAUGCAAUGGGAGGUUCCUGGAAAUUAUGCUUUACUAAUAAAUUCAACAAUGCGAGAUGGUGAAAAUAAGCUCUUCAGAAAUACAAGUGAAUGACAGUCAAUAAAUAUGUCCACAUAUGUUACAGGUCGACAUUUCUGGUCAGUUUCUUCUUUGUACUUUGUCUGUUUAUGAUGUUGACCUACGACUUUUUCCUCCAUUCAUCAUCUUUCUGACUUACCUGUAAAUUUUGUCUAGUUUAACAAUUGAAACAUAAACUUACAAAUGUCUGUAGAUAUUACAUGCCUUCGAGUUUUUAUCCCCAACUCGUGUUGACCUACAAUUUUGAGUCUAUUGAUGAAACAGACCUACAAUUUUCGUCUCUUUUUCAUUAAUGGAUUUUUAUUUGUCUAUGUUGUUGACAAAAGAUUUUAUGCUUGUUGAUAUCAUGAACCUACAAGUCUACUCGGCUUUUUCCGUAUGGUUACUGUAAACAUUGAUUUUUCGGGUUCAUUUUUGCUUUGAUUUUUCUGUUUGUUGUUUUUGUCUGUUUUAAGUUGUUUUCCAGUAAUUUUGUUGUCUAUGAUUCUGCUUUGAUUUUGUGUUGGUCUGAUUAAAAUUCUAUCUUUUCAUGUUGGUCAAUCAAUUUACUUUAAUCUCACAAUCUGGAACCGUUGUUGAAACUAUACCUACCUAUACAUACAGGGGAGGUUGUUUUACUAGACCUACCUAUAUACCUACCUAUAUACCUACCUAUAUACUGGGGAGGUUGUUUUACUAGACCUACCUAUAUACCUACCUAUAUACUGGGGAGGUUGUUUGACUAAACCUACCUAUAUACUGGGGAGGUUGUUUGACUAGACCUACCUAUAUACUGGGGAGGUUAUUAAACUAGACCUACCUAUAUACAGGGGUGGUUGUUAAACCAGACCUACCUAUAUACUGGGGAGGUUGUUUGACUAAACCUACCUAUAUACUGGGGAGGUUGUUUUACUAGACCUACCUAUAUACUGGGGAGGUUAUUAAACUAGACCUACCUAUAUACAGGGGUGGUUGUUAAACCAGACCUACCUAUAUACUGGGGAGGUUGUUAAACUAGACCUACCUAUAUACAGGUGUGGUUGUUAAGCCCGACCUACCUAUAUACAGGGGUGGUUGUUAAACCAGACCUACCUAUAUACUGGGGAGGUUGUUAAACUAUACCUACCUAUAUACUGGGGAGGUUAUUAAACUAGACCUACCUAUAUACUGGAAUGCUUGAUGGAAGAACGGCAACAGUUUAGCGCUGUAGUUGUCGUUGACUGGAAUGCGAUGGAAAUGUCCGUCCUGUACAAACGGGGACUUGGGGCAUGUGAUGCUGACGUUGAGGAUGUACGAUAUGUCAUUUAUCUGAAAAACACCCAAAGACGAGGUUAAAAUUGUAUUGGAAGUUCUAUCAUAAUAAAAAUUGGUUAAGGAGGUGUACUACAUUGUUAUAAUGGCUGACUUCCUUUUAGAAUAUGGAUGAAAAUACAAAUAUCAGCAAAUUUUGUCUAUUCCUUACAUCGACUGCUGAACUGUAGAUCGCAGGUUUGAGUCCAGCAGGGAUUUUAAAUUUUUUUCAGAUAGUUUUCUACUAAAACUGCAUGGGUUUUUUUUUUUUACCAAAAAAAGUAUAGGUGAAA
Long non-coding RNA from Ostrea edulis (European flat oyster), 3766 nucleotides. RefSeq lists it as uncharacterized. The record is from RefSeq and is a predicted model, not a curated record. The transcript has 2 exons. Lineage: Eukaryota; Metazoa; Mollusca; Bivalvia; Ostreida; Ostreidae.